Brassica rapa (field mustard) is the source of this 84-nucleotide non-coding RNA. NCBI's taxonomy places the organism in Eukaryota, Viridiplantae, Streptophyta, Magnoliopsida, Brassicales, Brassicaceae. The record is from Rfam.
GUCAGGAUGGCCGAGUGGUCCAAGGCGCCAGACUCAAGUUCUGGUCCUCGAAAGAGGGCGUGGGUUCAAACCCCACUUUUGACA